AUUGAACGCUGGCGGCAGGCCUAACACAUGCAAGUCGAACGGGUGGCGGACGGGUGAGUGAUGUCUGGGAAACUGCCUGAUGGAGGGGGAUAACUACUGGAAACGGUAGCUAAUACCGCAUACCAUCGGAUGUGCCCAGAUGGGAUUAGCUAGUAGGUGGGGUAAAGGCUCACCUAGGCGACGAUCCCUAGCUGGUCUGAGAGGAUGACCAGCCACACUGGAACUGAGACACGGUCCAGACUCCUACGGGAGGCAGCAGUGGGGAAUAUUGGACAAUGGGCGCAAGCCUGAUGCAGCCAUGCCGCGUGUAUGAAGAAGGCCUUCGGGUUGUAAAGUACUUUCAGCGGGGAGGCGUUACCCGCAGAGGAAGCACCGGCUAACUACGUGCCAGCAGCCGCGGUAAUAC
RNAcentral lists this ribosomal RNA (406 nucleotides) under uncultured bacterium. RNAcentral's name for it is "partial 16S ribosomal RNA". It matches the Rfam family "Bacterial small subunit ribosomal RNA", at positions 30 to 526 of the family's 1533-position model. The record is from RNAcentral.